Molecule: ribosomal RNA, 476 nt
Filed under: uncultured bacterium
Lineage: Bacteria
Description: bacterial SSU rRNA
Rfam family: Bacterial small subunit ribosomal RNA
Source: RNAcentral
AGAGUUUGAUCAUGGCUCAGGAUGAACGCUGGCUGUAUGCUUAACACAUUCAAGUCGAACGGAUGUCUUCGGACAUUAGUGGCGGACGGGUGAGUAACGCGUGAGAAUCUAGCUUCAGGUUGGGGACAACAGUUGGAAACGACUGCUAAUACCGAAUAUGCCGAGAGGUGAAAGAUUAAUUGCCUGAAGAAGAGCUCGCGUCUGAUUAGCUAGUUGGUGGGGUAAGAGCUUACCAAGGCGACGAUCGGUAGCUGGUCUGAGAGGACGAUCAGCCACACUGGGACUGAGACACGGCCCAGACUCCUACGGGAGGCAGCAGUGGGGAAUUUUCCGCAAUGGGCGAAAGCCUGACGGAGCAAUACCGCGUGAGGGAAGAAGGCUCUUGGGUUGUAAACCUCUUUUCUUAGGGAAGAAAAAAAUGACGGUACCUAAGGAAUAAGCAUCGGCUAACUCCGUGCCAGCCGCCGCGGUAAUUC